RNAcentral lists this ribosomal RNA (842 nucleotides) under Pseudoalteromonas sp. RNAcentral's name for it is "bacterial SSU rRNA". It matches the Rfam family "Bacterial small subunit ribosomal RNA", at positions 113 to 951 of the family's 1533-position model. The record is from RNAcentral. Lineage: Bacteria; Pseudomonadati; Pseudomonadota; Gammaproteobacteria; Alteromonadales; Pseudoalteromonadaceae.
AUGCUUGGGAAUAUGCCUUAUGGUGGGGGACAACAGUUGGAAACGACUGCUAAUACCGCAUAACAUCUCCGGAUCAAAGUGGGGGACCUUCGGGCCUCACGCCAUAAGAGUAGCCCAAGUGGGAUUAGCUAGUUGGUAAGGUAAUGGCUUACCAAGGCGACGAUCCCUAGUUGGUCUUAGAGGAUGACCAGCCACACUGGAACUGAGACACGGUCCAGACUCCUACGGGAGGCAGCAGUGGGGAAUAUUGCACAAUGGGCGCAAGCCUGAUGCAGCCAUGCCGCGUGUGUGAAGAAGGCUUUCGGGUUGUAAAGCACUUUCAGCGAGGAGGAAAGGUUGUACUUUAAUAGAGUGCAGCUGUGACGUUACUCGCAGAAGAAGCACCGGCUAACUCCGUGCCAGCAGCCGCGGUAAUACGGAGGGUGCGAGCGUUAAUCGGAAUUACUGGGCGUAAAGCGCGCGUAGGCGGUUAAUUAAGUCAGAUGUGAAAUCCCAGGGCUCAACCUUGGAACUGCAUUUGAAACUGGUUAACUAGAGUUUUGUAGAGGGUGGUAGAAUUUCAGGUGUAGCGGUGAAAUGCGUAGAGAUCUGAAGGAAUACCAGUGGCGAAGGCGGCCACCUGGACAAAGACUGACGCUGAGGCGCGAAGGCGUGGGGAGCAAACGGGAUUAGAUACCCCGGUAGUCCACGCAGUAAACGAUGUCUAUUAGAAUUUUGUGGCUAUAUGCCGUGGGAUUCAAAGCUAACGCAUUAAAUAGACCGCCUGGGGAGUACGGCCGCAAGGUUAAAACUCAAAUGAAUUGACGGGGGCCCGCACAAGCGGUGGAGCAUGUGGUUUAAUU